GGGUCAGUAGGUUGGUCGUGCCACCGGUACGUACUGGUCUCGCUGAUUCCUCCUUCCUGAAGAACCGUAGUGCCAUUAAUUUGGUGUUGCGGGGAAACAGGACUGUUACUUUGAAAAAAUUAGAGUGUUUAAAGCAAGCUAACGCUUGAAUACAUUAGCAUGGAAUAAUGAAAUAGGACGAUCGAUCCUAUUUUGUUGGUUUCUAGGAUUGACGUA
This 216-nucleotide ribosomal RNA is filed under the name Glomeromycotina sp. RNAcentral describes it as "partial small subunit ribosomal RNA". The stretch from base 44 to 216 matches the Rfam family "Eukaryotic small subunit ribosomal RNA", at positions 690 to 864 of the family's 1831-position model. The record is from RNAcentral. Lineage: Eukaryota; Fungi; Glomeromycota.